RNAcentral lists this ribosomal RNA (460 nucleotides) under uncultured bacterium. Its description in RNAcentral is "partial 16S ribosomal RNA". It matches the Rfam family "Bacterial small subunit ribosomal RNA", at positions 338 to 795 of the family's 1533-position model. The record is from RNAcentral.
CCUACGGGCGGCAGCAGUGAGGAAUAUUGGUCAAUGGCCGGAAGGCUGAACCAGCCAUGCCGCGUGAAGGUCAGUGCCCUAUGGGCGUUAAACUUCUUUUGUGCGGGAGCAAUAAUGGUCACGUGUGGCCAGACGAGAGUACCGUACGAAUAAGCAUCGGCUAACUCCGUGCCAGCAGCCGCGGUAAUACGGGGGAUGCAAGCGUUAUCCGGAGUUAUUGGGUUUAAAGGGUGCGUAGGCGGUGAGGUAAGGUAGCGGUGAAAUGCCCCCGCUCAACGGGGGGAAGUGCCAUUGAUCCUGCCUGGCUGGAAUGCGGAUGCGGUGGGAGGAAGGUGUGGUGUAGCGGUGAAAUGCGUAGAUAUUAGGAGGAACACCAGUGGCGAAGGCGGCUUACUGGACUGUAACUGACGUUGAGGCUCGAAAGCGUGGGGAGCAAACAGGAUUAGAUACCCCUGUAGUC